GACGAACGCUGGCGGCGUGCUUAACACAUGCAAGUGGAGCGACGAACCAGGGCUUGCCCUGGGGCAGAGCCGCGAACGGGUGAGUAACACGUGGGUAACCUACCCCGAUGAUCGGGACAACCCGGGGAAACUCGGGCUAAUACCGAAUGUGCCUUCAGUUCAUGAGGACUGAAAGUAAAGAUAGCUUCGGCCUUCGCAUCGGGACGGGCCCGCGGCCCAUUAGCUUGUUGGUGAGGUAACGGCUCACCAAGGCGACGAUGGGUAGCUGGUCUGAGAGGACGAUCAGCCACACUGGGACUGAGACACGGCCCAGACUCCUACGGGAGGCAG
Molecule: ribosomal RNA, 330 nt
Filed under: uncultured Actinomycetes bacterium
Lineage: Bacteria; Bacillati; Actinomycetota; Actinomycetes
Description: bacterial SSU rRNA
Rfam family: Bacterial small subunit ribosomal RNA
Source: RNAcentral